RNAcentral lists this ribosomal RNA (176 nucleotides) under uncultured bacterium. Its description in RNAcentral is "partial 16S ribosomal RNA". It matches the Rfam family "Bacterial small subunit ribosomal RNA", at positions 1323 to 1500 of the family's 1533-position model. The record is from RNAcentral.
AAGUCGGAAUUGCUAGUAAUCGCGGAUCAGCAUGCCGCGGUGAAUACGUUCUCGGGCCUUGUACACACCGCCCGUCACACCAUGGGAGUCGGUAACACCCGAAGUCUGCAGCCUGACGCAAGAGGGCGCAGCCGAAGGUGGGAUUGAUGACUGGGGUGAAGUCGUAACAAGGUAUC